GAUGAACGCUGGCGGCGUGCCUAAUACAUGCAAGUCGAGCGAACGGACGAGAAGCUUGCUUUUCUGAUGUUAGCGGCGGACGGGUGAGUAACACGUGGAUAACCUACCUAUAAGACUGGGAUAACUUCGGGAAACCGGAUCUAAUACCGGAUAAUAUUUUGAACCGCAUGGUUCAAAAGUGAAAGACGGUCUUGCUGUCACUUAUAGAUGGAUCCGCGCUGCAUUAGCUAGUUGGUAAGGUAACGGCUUACCAAGGCAACGAUGCAUAGCCGACCUGAGAGGGUGAUCGGCCACACUGGAACUGAGACACGGUCCAGACUCCUACGGGAGGCAGCAGUAGGGAAUCUUCCGCAAAGGGCGAAAGCCUGACGGAGCAACGCCGCGUGAGUGAUGAAGGUCUUCGGAUCGUAAAACUCUGUUAUUAGGGAAGAACAUAUGUGUAAGUAACUGUGCACAUCUUGACGGUACCUAAUCAGAAAGCCACGGCUAACUACGUG
RNAcentral lists this ribosomal RNA (497 nucleotides) under uncultured bacterium. RNAcentral's name for it is "partial 16S ribosomal RNA". It matches the Rfam family "Bacterial small subunit ribosomal RNA", at positions 28 to 507 of the family's 1533-position model. The record is from RNAcentral.